RNAcentral lists this long non-coding RNA (929 nucleotides) under Phoenix dactylifera (date palm). RNAcentral's name for it is "long non-coding RNA (PDAC_LNC002439)". Lineage: Eukaryota; Viridiplantae; Streptophyta; Magnoliopsida; Arecales; Arecaceae. The record is from RNAcentral.
CAUCAAUCCGUUAAUACUAAAUUUAAGAUGCUCAAAAUCUCCCAGGAAUUGCCAACAAUAGAAAAAACUCACUAGUGAAAUUAUAUAGCUAUCUCCAGAUUAUUCAGAGAAUCAACAACACUUUUCUCCAUUAGAAAUCUAAGUCAAAUCUUCUAAUAAUUCUCCUUAUCAAUACAACUUUAUCAGUAGAUCUUAUCAAAAGAGUAAGGCCCAUUACUUCGACAUUUAGUUCUUUUAAUAGGUGAUCUAAUUCAAGCUUCUUUUUUUUUUAUUUUGGUGCCAGAACAUCAUUAAUAUUCAUUUAAUUGAUUAUCACAAGAUCAUAAACUACUGCACUUUAUCCAUUGUAGAACAUUUGAGCCUAAAAUAUUCUUUAACAUUGAAAAUUAUUCUCAGAAUUUACUAAAUGACUUCCAAUCAAAAUAUUAAUCUUGCAUUAUAAUUUGCAAAAAUCUAAUAUUUCACUUUCCAACUAAACAAAGGAGAAACUCUUAAUUCUCAUUCUCAGAUAUAUUUUCUUUUUAUAUAAUAGUUUCAUGCAUAAUUGUCAUACAAAUUUCAUCCUCGAAGAAUAUAAAAUCUUUCCUUGUCCAAGUCUUAAACAACUUAUGAAUGAACCCUAUCUUGCUAUCAAAAUAAUUAACUUCAAACUAGAAGUAUUAUCCACCGUACUCAGUAUCAAGUUAAACUUCCAAAAUUACCUAUAUACUGAUACACAAGUAAUCACAAUGUACUUUAACAUUCCAUGGCUAGUACUCUACUUAAUAUCAAUCAAAAUCUAAUUUAAUCAUAAUCCAAAAAAAUACAAAUUACUCCAUCGAGAAAUCUCCAAAAUAAUUUAUUCUUAUUUUGGCAUGGCUUGCUAGCAUUCUGGUUCAAAACACCAAAAUUCUUAAUAUUCUUAAAUCUUAAACUCUGAUAUCAUACCU